Molecule: ribosomal RNA, 253 nt
Filed under: uncultured bacterium
Lineage: Bacteria
Description: partial 16S ribosomal RNA
Rfam family: Bacterial small subunit ribosomal RNA
Source: RNAcentral
UACGUAGGGUGCAAGCGUUAUUCGGAUUCACUGGGCGUAAAGGGUGCGCAGGCGGUCAGGUGUGUCAGAUGUGAAAUCCCGAGGCUCAACCUCGGAACUGCGUCUGAAACUACUCGACUAGAGUACUGGAGAGGGAAACGGAAUUCACGGUGUAGCAGUGAAAUGCGUAGAUAUCGUGAGGAACACCAGAGGCGAAGGCGGUUUCCUGGACAGUUACUGACGCUCAGGCACGAAAGCAUGGGGAGCAAAAGGG